AUUGAACGCUGGCGGCGUGCCUAACACAUGCAAGUCGAUCGGUAACAGGUGUAGCAAUACAUGCUGACGAGAGGCGGACGGGUGAGUAACGCUUGGGAAUCUGCCUAUUAGUGGGGGGACAACCCGGGGGAAACUCGGGCUAAUACCGCAUACGCUCUACGGAGGAAAGCCGGGGACCGCAAGGCCUGGCGCUAAUAGAUGAGCCCAAGUCGGAUUAGCUAGUUGGUAGGGUAAUGGCCUACCAAGGCGACGAUCCGUAGCUGGUCUGAGAGGACGACCAGCCACACUGGGACUGAGACACGGCCCAGACUCCUACGGGAGGCAGCAGUGGGGAAUAUUGGACAAUGGGCGCAAGCCUGAUCCAGCCAUGCCGCGUGAGU
Molecule: ribosomal RNA, 380 nt
Filed under: uncultured bacterium
Lineage: Bacteria
Description: bacterial SSU rRNA
Rfam family: Bacterial small subunit ribosomal RNA
Source: RNAcentral